GACGGGGGGGGCAAGUGUUCUUCGGAUUUACUGGGCGUAAAGGGCGCGUAGGCGGUGUGCCAAGUCUCUUGUGAAAUCUCUGAGCUUAACUCAGAACGGCCAAGUGAAACUGUUGUGCUAGAGUGCAGAAGGGGCAAUCGGAAUUCUUGGUGUAGCGGUGAAAUGCGUAGAUAUCAAGAGGAACACCUGAGGUGAAGACGGGUUGCUGGGCUGACACUGACGCUGAGGCGCGAAAGCCAGGGGAGCAAACGGG
Molecule: ribosomal RNA, 253 nt
Filed under: uncultured bacterium
Lineage: Bacteria
Description: partial 16S ribosomal RNA
Rfam family: Bacterial small subunit ribosomal RNA
Source: RNAcentral